AACGCACAUUGCGCCCCGUGAAAUUCCGCGGGGCAUGCCUGUUCGAGCGUCAUUACACCACUCAAGCCUCGCUUGGUAUUGGGCGACGCGGUCAAUCCGCGCGCCUCAAAUCUUCCGGCUGGUUCGAAUCGUCCCUCAGCGUUGUGGAAACUAUUCGCUAAAGGUGCGCGUUUCGGUCACGCCGUAAAACAAACCCAUUCAUUAAAGGUUGACCUCGGAUCAGGUAGGGAUACCCGCUGAACUUAA
RNAcentral lists this unclassified non-coding RNA (246 nucleotides) under uncultured fungus. RNAcentral describes it as "partial contains 5.8S ribosomal RNA, internal transcribed spacer 2, and large subunit ribosomal RNA". The record is from RNAcentral. Lineage: Eukaryota; Fungi.